CUUUACAGUAGCUACACGAGUGGCUUCUUGGUCAUCACUUUGUUCCUACAGUUCAUCUCCUCACAUCUCCCAGCAUGGCCUUGUAAGAAUAUAAAUCAGGUCCUAUGUCUGCCUUGCUUGGACCCUUCCAGUGGCUUCCCGUUACACUGAAACUACUGUCCAAGCCAUUCCCAUGGCUUACAGCACCCUGAGAGCUGGCCACCCCAGUGCCCGUUAAACUUCAGCCAAGCUUCUUCACUUUGCUUUAUUCCAGUUUGCCGAGAAACUGCUACCUUAGAAUCAUCCACUGUCUCCAGAUCUUCCCUGGAAGGUGUGUGCCCUCUGGCCACCUUGGACGUCUGUGACAUGGUCUUUGGGAGCUACCACCUUCCUCUUGCUCCUGCCGGAGCCUGCUGUGCCUCAGCUCAUGAUCCUUCCGUCUGAGCACUGCUGCCCCCGUCAAGAAUCCGAGUAUUCCGGGAAAGCCGUCACCAAACUGCCUCCAGACCACGGUGGAGUGGAGAAAAGACUUCUUGAAAAUGAACAGCCAAAUGGACUCAGCCCACAAACACCUAGCUGAGAUUGUCUCUGUGAAGAAUGACAUGCCUUCAGCAUGAAGAAGGUACAAGAAAAAGACAUGUAAUUAAGCGGGGAGAAAUCAGAAACUGGAGCCAUUAAAGAGACUGUGAUAUGAGGAAAACACUGCACAGGAGAUGUGACUGAAGAUC
Long non-coding RNA from Fukomys damarensis (Damara mole-rat), 707 nucleotides. RefSeq lists it as uncharacterized. The record is from RefSeq and is a predicted model, not a curated record. NCBI's taxonomy places the organism in Eukaryota, Metazoa, Chordata, Mammalia, Rodentia, Bathyergidae. The transcript has 4 exons.